This 1630-nucleotide long non-coding RNA is filed under the name Homo sapiens (human). Its description in RNAcentral is "non-protein coding lnc-PHIP-3:5". Lineage: Eukaryota; Metazoa; Chordata; Mammalia; Primates; Hominidae. The record is from RNAcentral.
GCAAAGUAUGCCGGGAUGGGUGUGGAGGCCGCGGAACUUCUGGCGGGCGCAAGCUAUAUGCCUUGUUGAUCUUGCCGCAUCUUUUUUACUAGAUGUCGGCUGAGUGAGUAGCUACAGUUUUUAACAUGUUUAACUUACGGCCUUCAAAAAUUGUUAGCGGACUUUCUCUGUUGCCUCCUCAGUGAGCUCUGCCCUUUCUCGCAACUCCUUGUCGUCCCACCGCGCCUCUGCACCUCAGAGGAAGGAGAAGAGUAGCGAGGCCGAGCGGGUUUUUAGAUUUCUCUGUGAUUACCCCCAGCCUUGUCUUUUCUGACUUUACCGUCCCCGCUUGGGGUACUGCUUUUUGAGGCUCCCUCGGCCACAUUUUUGUGGUUCGUGAGAGGUUUCAGUUGAGGUGAACUUUUUGCCCCUGUGAUCUUGGACAGUUUAUGAUUCUUCAUAUCUCAGUAUCAUCUUCUCUAAAGCAGGGUUGAUAAUAUUUUUUAUAUUAGUAAUAUAUAAUAUAUUCUAAUAUAUAUAAUAUAUUCUAAUAUAUAAUAUAUUCUAAUAUAUAUAAUAUAUUAAUAUUAUCAAAGCAAUGUUGAUAAUAUUUUUCACAUUUGCUAUGUGCUUAUAAGGCGCCCAUUGUAUGUAGAGUGCGUUGCAUAUGGAAAGCAGAGUGAACAUAAUGGAUGUUUGUAAUGAUAGCUAUGGCUUUGGCAUCAUUUUUGUGUCUCCCCAUUUUUUUCUAAAAUCCCUGGAAUGGUUCGGGCCUUGAAUUCCGACAGAAGAGAUUUAGGUGGUAGCAAAGCACGUCCAACAUGGAGUUUGCUGGGCCUGCACAACUUGGAGCUUCUCUGUACCCUUUUCUUCAGAGAACUUUUAGAACACAACCCUCAACUUCCCGUCUUCUGGAUUCUCUUCCUAGCACUAAGCAAUGAUCUUUGUAAAAAUAGCCCCACUGACUUAUACGUCUUUACUAUCUGAAUUUUAUCAAGAGAAUCGAGGGGGGAAAAAAGAAUUUUGAAUAACUAGUUCUAGAAGGACAAGAACUGUUCUUUUAAAAGGACCCUGAAAAGCUGACAGUCCUCUUGUAGUUUCUUCACCAUCGUUUUUUCUGUUCUUUUCGAUUAGUAUAAUUCAACUAAAUCAAUGGUACCCCCCUCCUUUAAUUAGGCUCAUCACUAGAUUAACAUAAUUUUGUGUAUAUCCAUCUUGUUUAUUGUUAGCUGAAAACAAUUUUAAUUUAAAAACUAACGUUAAGAACUUUCCGUCAUAGUCUUUUAUUAUUUAAGACACCCAAAAUAAUGUUUCUUAAACUUGGUGAAAAAUUCUUUUUCCCUUACGAUAAAUGCGGAAGAAUAUAGCCUCCAAAAUAAAUUAUUGAAUGAGUGAAUGUCAUAAACAAAAAGCAACAGGAGUUAAAGUGUAAGUAUUUAGUAUACGAUAAAAGAUUUCAUAUCAGUGGAAAAUGAUUACAUGGUACAGGGAUAAUUGUAAGCUAUAUAUAUAAUAUACUAUAGCUAUAUAGCUAUAGUAUAUUUUAUAUAUAUAUAUAUUUUUUUUUUUUUGAGGCGGAGUCUCGCUCUGUCAUUCUGGCUGGAGUGCAGUGGUGCGAUCUGGGCUCACUGCAAGCUCCGCCUCCCGGGUU